RNAcentral lists this long non-coding RNA (275 nucleotides) under Elaeis guineensis (African oil palm). RNAcentral's name for it is "long non-coding RNA (EGUI_LNC074459)". Lineage: Eukaryota; Viridiplantae; Streptophyta; Magnoliopsida; Arecales; Arecaceae. The record is from RNAcentral.
GGCAUCAUCGAACAAUAAAGAUGGGAGUCUGUCUAUAAGGCUCAAGUGACACCUUAUAUUACUCAUCAAAUACUAAUCCACAAGUUGCAGUAGAUAACAGAAACAGAGAAUAAUUAAAAAUAGAUUUCUGUUUUUCCCUGUAAGUCAAAAGAUAGGUCUUAUUUCUUUUUUCAAAAACAACAACAAAUUCCAGCAAAUAAGACCUGGCAUCAGUCGAGUAAAAGAAAGAUACUUUUCUAUUUGUUUGAGCAAGUAAAUAUUUUUGAAAAUGCAAC